This 1214-nucleotide long non-coding RNA is filed under the name Homo sapiens (human). RNAcentral describes it as "non-protein coding LINC00326:4". The record is from RNAcentral. Lineage: Eukaryota; Metazoa; Chordata; Mammalia; Primates; Hominidae.
AAUCACACAAGACCUUAAAAGCUGAGAACUUCCUCCUGCUGGGGACAGGACAGAUGAGGCAGAAGGGGAGGUUAGGGAGGUUUGAAGAGUGAGAAGAACUUCUGCAGUGGCUGACUUGGAAGAUGAAGGAGGUUAUGAACCAGGGAAUGGGGGCAGCCUCUAGAGGCUGAGAACCUGCUGACACCUACCCACAACCGCUAAGGAAAUGAAGACUUUAAUUCCACAACUGCAUGCAACUAAACUCAGCCAACAACCUGAAUAAGUCGGAAAAAGGCUUCUCCAGAGCCUCCAGAUAAGAGGCCAGGCUGGCGACACCUUGAUUUUGACCUUGUGAGACCUAGAGCAGAGAAACUAGCCAAGAUCACUCAGACUUCUGAUCUACAGAACUGUGAGACCGUAAAUUUAUGUUGUAUUAAGCCACUAAUUGCGUGGGAAUUUGUUACAGGAGCAAUAGAAAAUGAAUACACCUUCUGAUGUAGUUUAAUCAGUUGACAUUAGGGGUGACACCAAGAUGUGCUACACUGAACCCAACUUCUGCAUGUUUAAGACAAGACGCAAGGUCAAAAAUUUACAUCAGGUAUCUGAAUGUGUAGCAUAUACAACUGAGUGUUGAAAGAAGACAAAAUCGUUUUCAUCACGAAGAAUAUGUGCUCAGUAAGAAUCAGAAUGUUCAAUUGUGUGAAGGUGGGAGAUGGGAAGAUUGGUAUUAUGGCCUGGAUCCAGAAAUCAGUCUUCCACUAUAGGAAAUGGGAAUUUAAAGAUGAUCAGAAGACAGUUGGGAGCAGAGUGAGAAUAAGAACCCUCAACUGCUGUCUCACCUUUCAGAUCACGAAGAAGUUUUUUACAAUGAGCAGAACACUCAACCUGAAAGCAGAAUGGAUUGAGUCACUGCAGCGUGGCAGUGGAAUGGUGUUUGAUGUUGGCAAAGGAAACAUGUACUUCUAGACUGGACAGUUUUCCCUUAGUUUACAGUUUCCAAAUAGAGACAUCACUUUGAAAUAACAUGGAGAACAUACAUGGAUGUACUGAACGAAGAAUAAAGUCUGUGUUGCAGUCCUGUCUCCAUUGACUUUUACAAAUAUGGCUUUGGAUGAAUCACCUAAGUUUUAUUUUUGAGAAUUUACGCUUACCAUGUAUAAAAUGAUAUUGCUAAUAUGUUUGCUGCCUACCCCAUUGGGUUUUGUGAGGAAUAAAUGAUAAUGCUAAGAAAAAGG